GCCAUACCACCCUGAACGCACCCUGUCUCGUCUGAUCUUGGAAGCUAAACGGGCAGGCCUGGUUAGUAAUUGAAUGGGAGAACCACUGUCCUGGAGGAAAAGAGUGCCAAUCUGGGAAAACCUGUGGC
RNAcentral lists this ribosomal RNA (128 nucleotides) under Bison bison bison. The record is from RNAcentral. Lineage: Eukaryota; Metazoa; Chordata; Mammalia; Artiodactyla; Bovidae.